Molecule: ribosomal RNA, 1475 nt
Filed under: Staphylococcus aureus
Lineage: Bacteria; Bacillati; Bacillota; Bacilli; Caryophanales; Staphylococcaceae
Description: partial 16S ribosomal RNA
Rfam family: Bacterial small subunit ribosomal RNA
Source: RNAcentral
AUCCUGGCUCAGGAUGAACGCUGGCGGCGUGCCUAAUACAUGCAAGUCGAGCGAACGGACGAGAAGCUUGCUUCUCUGAUGUUAGCGGCGGACGGGUGAGUAACACGUGGAUAACCUACCUAUAAGACUGGGAUAACUUCGGGAAACCGGAGCUAAUACCGGAUAAUAUUUUGAACCGCAUGGUUCAAAAGUGAAAGACGGUCUUGCUGUCACUUAUAGAUGGAUCCGCGCUGCAUUAGCUAGUUGGUAAGGUAACGGCUUACCAAGGCAACGAUGCAUAGCCGACCUGAGAGGGUGAUCGGCCACACUGGAACUGAGACACGGUCCAGACUCCUACGGGAGGCAGCAGUAGGGAAUCUUCCGCAAUGGGCGAAAGCCUGACGGAGCAACGCCGCGUGAGUGAUGAAGGUCUUCGGAUCGUAAAACUCUGUUAUUAGGGAAGAACAUAUGUGUAAGUAACUGUGCACAUCUUGACGGUACCUAAUCAGAAAGCCACGGCUAACUACGUGCCAGCAGCCGCGGUAAUACGUAGGUGGCAAGCGUUAUCCGGAAUUAUUGGGCGUAAAGCGCGCGUAGGCGGUUUUUUAAGUCUGAUGUGAAAGCCCACGGCUCAACCGUGGAGGGUCAUUGGAAACUGGAAAACUUGAGUGCAGAAGAGGAAAGUGGAAUUCCAUGUGUAGCGGUGAAAUGCGCAGAGAUAUGGAGGAACACCAGUGGCGAAGGCGACUUUCUGGUCUGUAACUGACGCUGAUGUGCGAAAGCGUGGGGAUCAAACAGGAUUAGAUACCCUGGUAGUCCACGCCGUAAACGAUGAGUGCUAAGUGUUAGGGGGUUUCCGCCCCUUAGUGCUGCAGCUAACGCAUUAAGCACUCCGCCUGGGGAGUACGACCGCAAGGUUGAAACUCAAAGGAAUUGACGGGGACCCGCACAAGCGGUGGAGCAUGUGGUUUAAUUCGAAGCAACGCGAAGAACCUUACCAAAUCUUGACAUCCUUUGACAACUCUAGAGAUAGAGCCUUCCCCUUCGGGGGACAAAGUGACAGGUGGUGCAUGGUUGUCGUCAGCUCGUGUCGUGAGAUGUUGGGUUAAGUCCCGCAACGAGCGCAACCCUUAAGCUUAGUUGCCAUCAUUAAGUUGGGCACUCUAAGUUGACUGCCGGUGACAAACCGGAGGAAGGUGGGGAUGACGUCAAAUCAUCAUGCCCCUUAUGAUUUGGGCUACACACGUGCUACAAUGGACAAUACAAAGGGCAGCGAAACCGCGAGGUCAAGCAAAUCCCAUAAAGUUGUUCUCAGUUCGGAUUGUAGUCUGCAACUCGACUACAUGAAGCUGGAAUCGCUAGUAAUCGUAGAUCAGCAUGCUACGGUGAAUACUUUCCCGGGUCUUGUACACACCGCCCGUCACACCACGAGAGUUUGUAACACCCGAAGCCGGUGGAGUAACCUUUUAGGAGCUAGCCGUCGAAGGUGGGACAGC